UACGAAGGGUGCAAGCGUUACUCGGAAUUACUGGGCGUAAAGCGUGUGUAGGCGGUUUGUUAAGUCCGUUGUGAAAGCCCUGGGCUCAACCUGGGAAUUGCAGUGGAUACUGGCGAGCUAGGGUGCGGUAGAGGAUGGUGGGAUUCCCGGUGUAGUGGUGAAAUGCGUAGAGAUCGGGAGGAACACCCGUGGCGAAGGCGGCCACCUGGGCCGACCCUGACGCUGAGGCGCGAAGGCGUGGGGAGCGAACGGG
This 253-nucleotide ribosomal RNA is filed under the name uncultured bacterium. RNAcentral describes it as "partial 16S ribosomal RNA". It matches the Rfam family "Bacterial small subunit ribosomal RNA", at positions 524 to 776 of the family's 1533-position model. The record is from RNAcentral.